UACGUAGGGGACGAGCGUUGUCCGGAAUUAUUGGGCGUAAAGCGCGUGUAGGCGGCCUUGCAAGUCGGGUGUGAAAGCCCUCAGCUUAACUGAGGAAGUGCGCCCGAAACUGCUCGGCUUGAGUACCGGAGAGGAUGGUGGAAUUCCCGAAGUAGAGGUGAAAUUCGUAGAUAUCGGGAGGAACACCGGUGGCGAAGGCGACCAUCUGGACGGAUACUGACGCUGAGACGCGAAAGCGUGGGUAGCAAACAGG
Molecule: ribosomal RNA, 253 nt
Filed under: uncultured bacterium
Lineage: Bacteria
Description: partial 16S ribosomal RNA
Rfam family: Bacterial small subunit ribosomal RNA
Source: RNAcentral